GUAGGUGGCAAGCAUUGUCCGGAAUUAUUGGGCGUAAAGCGCGCGCAGGCGGUUCUUUAAGUCUGAUGUGAAAGCCCACGGCUCAACCGUGGAGGGUCAUUGGAAACUGGAGAACUUGAGUACAGAAGAGGAAAGCGGAAUUCCACGUGUAGCGGUGAAACGCGUAGAGAUGUGGAGGAACACCAGUGGCGAAGGCGGCUUUCUGGUCUGUAACUGACGCUGAGGCGCGAAAGCGUGGGGAGCAAACAGGGAUUAGAUACCCUGGUAGUCCACGCCGUAAACGAUGAGUGCUAAGUGUUAGGGGGUUUCCGCCCCCUUAGUGCUGCAGCUAACGCAUUAAGCACUCCGCCUGGGGAUUCGGCCGCAAGGCUG
RNAcentral lists this ribosomal RNA (372 nucleotides) under uncultured organism. RNAcentral's name for it is "partial 16S ribosomal RNA". It matches the Rfam family "Bacterial small subunit ribosomal RNA", at positions 527 to 896 of the family's 1533-position model. The record is from RNAcentral.